RNAcentral lists this ribosomal RNA (253 nucleotides) under uncultured bacterium. RNAcentral describes it as "partial 16S ribosomal RNA". It matches the Rfam family "Bacterial small subunit ribosomal RNA", at positions 524 to 776 of the family's 1533-position model. The record is from RNAcentral.
CACGUAGGGCGCAAGCGUUGUCCGGAAUUAUUGGGCGGAAAGAGCUCGUAGGCGGUCUGUUGCGUCUGCUGUGAAAACCCGGGGCUUAACCCCUGGCUUGCAGUGGAUACGGACAGACUAGAGGUAGGUAGGGGAGAAUGGAAUUCCCGGUGUAGCGGUGAAAUGCGCAGAUAUCGGGAGGAACACCGGUGGCGAAGGCGGUUCUCUGGGCCUUACCUGACGCUGAGGAGCGAAAGCGUGGGGAGCGAACAGG